GACGUAGGGCGCGAGCGUUGUCCGGAUUUAUUGGGCGUAAAGCGCGCGCAGGCGGUCCUUUAAGUCUGAUGUGAAAUCUUGCGGCUCAACCGCAAGCGGUCAUUGGAAACUGGGGGACUUGAGUACAGAAGAGGAAAGCGGAAUUCCACGUGUAGCGGUGAAAUGCGUAGAGAUGUGGAGGAACACCAGUGGCGAAGGCGGCUUUCUGGUCUGUAACUGACGCUGAGACGCGAAAGCGUGGGGAGCAAACAGG
RNAcentral lists this ribosomal RNA (253 nucleotides) under uncultured bacterium. RNAcentral describes it as "partial 16S ribosomal RNA". It matches the Rfam family "Bacterial small subunit ribosomal RNA", at positions 524 to 776 of the family's 1533-position model. The record is from RNAcentral.